CCUACGGGGGGCUGCAGUGGGGAAUAUUGGACAAUGGGGGGAACCCUGAUCCAGCCAUGCCGCGUGUGUGAAGAAGGCCCUCGGGUUGUAAAGCACUUUCAGUGAGGAAGAACGCCUGGUGGUUAAUAUCCAUCAGGAAAGACAUCACUCACAGAAGAAGCACCGGCUAACUCCGUGCCAGCAGCCGCGGUAAUACGGAGGGUGCGAGCGUUAAUCGGAAUUACUGGGCGUAAAGCGCGCGUAGGUGGCUUGAUAAGCCGGUUGUGAAAGCCCCGGGCUCAACCUGGGAACGGCAUCCGGAACUGUCAAGCUAGAGUGCAGGAGAGGAGGGUAGAAUUCCCGGUGUAGCGGUGAAAUGCGUAGAGAUCGGGAGGAAUACCAGUGGCGAAGGCGGCCUUCUGGACUGACACUGACACUGAGGUGCGAAAGCGUGGGUAGCAAACAGGAUUAGAUACCCUGGUAGUC
Molecule: ribosomal RNA, 465 nt
Filed under: Vreelandella stevensii
Lineage: Bacteria; Pseudomonadati; Pseudomonadota; Gammaproteobacteria; Oceanospirillales; Halomonadaceae
Description: partial 16S ribosomal RNA
Rfam family: Bacterial small subunit ribosomal RNA
Source: RNAcentral